This 274-nucleotide ribosomal RNA is filed under the name uncultured bacterium. Its description in RNAcentral is "partial 16S ribosomal RNA". It matches the Rfam family "Bacterial small subunit ribosomal RNA", at positions 523 to 796 of the family's 1533-position model. The record is from RNAcentral.
AUACGGAGGUGGCGAGCGUUAUUCGGAAUCAUUGGGCGUAAAGGGCGCGUAGGCGGCCUGACAAGUCAGGGGUGAAAUCCCUCGGCUCAACCGAGGAACUGCCUCUGAAACUGUCAGGCUUGAGGCCGGGAGAGGGUAGUGGAAUUCCCAGUGUAGCGGUGAAAUGCGUAGAUAUUGGGAGGAACACCAGUGGCGAAGGCGGCUACCUGGACCGGUUCUGACGCUGAGGCGCGAAAGUGUGGGGAGCAAACAGGAUUAGAAACCCUAGUAGUCC